AUUGAACGCUAGCGGGAUGCCUUACACAUGCACGUCGAACGGAGUGGCGAACGGGUGAGUAAUGUAUCGGAACGUGCCCAGUAGCGGGGGAUAACUACGCGAAAGCGUAGCUAAUACCGCAUACUAUUGGAGCGGCCGAUAUCGGAUUAGCUAGUUGGUGGGGUAAAGGCUCACCAAGGCGACGCUCCGUAGCUGGUUUGAGAGGACGCCCAGCCACACGGGGACUGAGACACGGCCCAGCCUCCUACGUGAGGCAGCAGUGGGGAAUUUUGGACAAUGGGGGAAACCCUGAUCCAGCCAUCCCGCGUGUGCGAUGAAGGCCUUCGGGUGGUAAAGCACUUUUGUCAGGAAAGCGGUACCUGCAGAAUAAGCACCGGCUAACUUCGUGCCAGCAGCCGCGGUAAUAC
Molecule: ribosomal RNA, 407 nt
Filed under: uncultured bacterium
Lineage: Bacteria
Description: partial 16S ribosomal RNA
Rfam family: Bacterial small subunit ribosomal RNA
Source: RNAcentral